Molecule: ribosomal RNA, 253 nt
Filed under: uncultured bacterium
Lineage: Bacteria
Description: partial 16S ribosomal RNA
Rfam family: Bacterial small subunit ribosomal RNA
Source: RNAcentral
AACGUAGGAGACAAACGUUAUCCGGAGUUACUGGGCGUAAAGGGCGUGUAGGUGGUUACGUAAGUCUGGCGUGAAAUAUCUCGGCUUAACCGAGGCAGGUCGUCGGAUACUGCGAGACUAGAGGACGGUAGAGGCGUGUGGAAUUCCGGGUGUAGUGGUGAAAUGCGUAGAGAUCCGGAGGAACACCAGUGGCGAAGGCGACACGCUGGGCCGUACCUGACACUGAUGCGCGACAGCAUGGGGAGCAAACAGG